UGGUGGGGUGACUUGUCUGCUUAAUUGCGAUGACGAACGAGACCUUAACCUGCUAAAUAGCCCGCAUUGCUCCGGCAGUGCGCUGGCUUCUUAGAGGGACUUUCGGCUCAAGCCGAAGGAAGUUUGAGGCAAUAACA
This 137-nucleotide ribosomal RNA is filed under the name uncultured eukaryote. RNAcentral's name for it is "partial 18S ribosomal RNA". It matches the Rfam family "Eukaryotic small subunit ribosomal RNA", at positions 1299 to 1458 of the family's 1831-position model. The record is from RNAcentral.